UUAUUAAUGUUGAAACAUUUAUAAGUUAGGAAUGCUUUGGUUAUAAAUAGCAACAUAUCUGACUAUAAUUUACAUCUGUAGAGCUGUUCUGGCUCCUUAUACUAUGUAACAAAACACUCACAAAUUUGUGGCUUAAAACAAUAUUCAUUUUGCUUCCAAAUCUGCAAUUUGGGCAGGGCUCAGCAGGGGAAGCUCAUCUGCGCUCCACUUGGCUUCAGCUGGGAGUGGGCCGCAAUCACCUGAAGGCUAUUCACCUGCUUACUUGGUGCCUGAGUAGAUUCAAAUGUCUAGGGGCUGGAACAGCUGGGGCCCCUUGGGCAUGUAUCCCUUUGUGCUUCCUCGCAGUGAGCUAUGAUCACAUCCCUACAUUUUAGCCUGGGUGACAGAGCAAGACCCUGUCUCUAAAAAAACCAAACCAAACAAAAAACAGCCCAGUCUCAUGCAGUGGCUCACACUUGUAAUCCUAGCAGUUUUGAGAGGCUGAAGCCUGAGGCCAGGAGUUUGAGACCAGCUUGGGCAACACAGUGAGACCACUGCCUCAAAAAAAACAAAACAAACAAACAAAAAAACCAAAAAAACCCCAAGCUCUUUUGACCAUUUUUCUCAGCAUCUUUAGGGUCUUGGCUUAUCAUGUUAUGUUGAUAUAAUGGAAUGGCUUCUGCAUCUCCAGUCAUCACACCUGUAUUUUAGGCAGAACAAAGGCAGAAUGUCAUUUAUUCUCCACCGUGCCCCGGUAUAACCAUGCGGCUGAAUUCCUCUUAGAUUAAAUUGCAUCGCAUGGCGCUGUCAGGAGCUCAGUAGAGCUGGAAGGGAGCUGAGCUGUCAGGUGUUAGAGUAGCCACUUGAAGCUACAACAAGCACAAAUGGAAGUAAUAGCGAAGACUUUAAUCCCGCACUGCAGUAGUACAAGCAAGAGGCUAACACUGGAGGGAGUGCUGAGCUCUCCUGCUUCAUUUUCCCCUUGGAACAAUGCACCCAUACGGUUCAGGGUCAGGAGGAUCAGCACAGAUGUGGGGGUCAUCUCACUCUUGAGGGGGCCCCUAACCAAAGGCUUCCUGAAGGGUUGUGGACCAGGGGCUGGGGAGUUGGGUAGUGAGAGGGGAAAAAGCUGAGAGUGUAAAAGUACUGAGUCAGAGUGAAGAAAGGUGUCUUCCCUUAAGGGUCCCUGAGCCCUCCGAACAGAGCACCUGGACUAGGAAAGCAGAUCCACAAAAGGGCAGGAGCAGCCAGAGGAGGCUGACCUCUUGCCAGAGACUCUCUGAGGUGGCACCGGCUGUGCAGCCUUCCGGUGAGGCCUGACGGGUGAUGCCUCUGGAAUAGCAGUCGGUCAGGCCGUGGCCAGUGGAGAGCCCGGCCUGGCAGCACCCCUCAGGCUUCGCCGCUGCCUUGUGUGCAUCCCAAGCAAUCUUUGUCAGCAUCCCCAUGGCCACAAAACUUCCUGGCUCUUUCUGUGCCUCGCUUCUGUUUCCUGUACAUCCCUUUCCUUUUUCUGUCCGUAAAUCUUCCUCCACCAUGUGCCUAAGCUGGAGCUUCUC
RNAcentral lists this long non-coding RNA (1535 nucleotides) under Homo sapiens (human). RNAcentral describes it as "HSALNT0080593". Lineage: Eukaryota; Metazoa; Chordata; Mammalia; Primates; Hominidae. The record is from RNAcentral.